RNAcentral lists this ribosomal RNA (440 nucleotides) under uncultured bacterium. RNAcentral describes it as "partial 16S ribosomal RNA". It matches the Rfam family "Bacterial small subunit ribosomal RNA", at positions 338 to 795 of the family's 1533-position model. The record is from RNAcentral.
CCUACGGGAGGCAGCAGUAGGGAAUAUUGCUCAAUGGGGGAAACCCUGAAGCAGCAACGCAGCGUGGAGGAUGAAGGUUCUCGGAUUGUAAAAUUUCUUUUUUAGAGAAGUUAAUGACGGUAUCUAACGAAUAAGCAACGGCUAAUUUCGUGCCAGCAGCCGCGGUAAUACGGAGGGUGCAAGCGUUACUCGGAAUCACUGGGCGUAAAGCGCGCGUAGGCGGGAUAGCAAGUCAGAUGUGAAAUCCUAUGGCUUAACCAUAGAACUGCAUUUGAAACUGUUAUUCUAGAGUAUGGGAGAGGUAGGUGGAAUUCUUGGUGUAGGGGUAAAAUCCGUAGAGAUCAAGAAGAAUACUCAUUGCGAAGGCAGCCUGCUAGAACAUAACUGACGCUGAUGCGCGAAAGCGUGGGGAGCAAACAGGAUUAGAUACCCUUGUAGUC